CAGCAGCCGCGGGAAUACGGAGGGUGCAAGCGUUAAUCGGAAUUACUGGGCGUAAAGCGCACGCAGGCGGUCUGACAAGUCAGAUGUGAAAUCCCCGGGCUUAACCUGGGAACUGCAUUUGAAACUGUCAGGCUGGAGUCUUGUAGAGGGUGGUGGAAUUCCAGGUGUAGCGGUGAAAUGCGUAGAGAUCUGGAGGAAUACCGGUGGCGAAGGCAGCCCCCUGGACAAAGACUGACGCUCAGGUGCGAAAGCGUGGGGAGCAAACAGGAUUAGAUACCCCUGUAGUCCCUGUCUCUUAUAC
RNAcentral lists this ribosomal RNA (301 nucleotides) under uncultured bacterium. Its description in RNAcentral is "partial 16S ribosomal RNA". It matches the Rfam family "Bacterial small subunit ribosomal RNA", at positions 509 to 807 of the family's 1533-position model. The record is from RNAcentral.